AGCGAACGCUGGCGGCAGGCUUAACACAUGCAAGUCGAGCGGGCGUAGCAAUACGUCAGCGGCAGACGGGUGAGUAACGCGUGGGAACGUACCUUUUGGUUCGGAACAACCCAGGGAAACUUGGGCUAAUACCGGAUAAGCCCUUACGGGGAAAGAUUUAUCGCCAAAAGAUCGGCCCGCGUCUGAUUAGCUUGUUGGUGAGGUAACGGCUCACCAAGGCGACGAUCAGUAGCUGGUCUGAGAGGAUGAUCAGCCACAUUGGGACUGAGACACGGCCCAAACUCCUACGGGAGGCAGCAGGUUGGGGAAUAUUGGACAAUGGGCGCAAGCCUGAUCCAGCCAUGCCGCGUGAGUGAUGAAGGCCCCAGGGUUGUAAGCUCUUUUGGCAGGAACGAAACGGCAUGAGCGAAUCCUCGUGCUAAUGACGGUACCUGCAGAAUAAGCACCGGCUAACUACGUGCCAGCCG
Molecule: ribosomal RNA, 467 nt
Filed under: uncultured bacterium
Lineage: Bacteria
Description: bacterial SSU rRNA
Rfam family: Bacterial small subunit ribosomal RNA
Source: RNAcentral